This 419-nucleotide ribosomal RNA is filed under the name bacterium. Its description in RNAcentral is "partial 16S ribosomal RNA". It matches the Rfam family "Bacterial small subunit ribosomal RNA", at positions 355 to 776 of the family's 1533-position model. The record is from RNAcentral.
UGGGGGAUAUUGCACAAUGGGCGAAAGCCUGAUGCAGCGACGCCGCGUGGGGGAUGAAGGCCUUCGGGUUGUAAACUUCUUUUGCUCUGAACAAGGCAUGCUAAUGGGUGUGUUGAGUGUAGGGGUUGAUUAGCGCCGGCUAACUACGUGCCAGCAGCCGCGGUAAUACGUAGGGCGCGAGCGUUGUCCGGAAUUAUAGGGCGUAAAGGGCUUGUAGGUGGCUGGUUGCGUCUGUCGUGAAAGCUCAUGGCUUAACUGUGGGUUUGCGGUGGGUACGGGCUGGCUUGAGUGCAGUAGGGGAGGCUGGAAUUCCUGGUGUAGCGGUGGAAUGCGCAGAUAUCAGGAGGAAUACCGGUGGCGAAGGCGGGUCUCUGGGCUGUUACUGACACUGAGGAGCGAAAGCAUGGGGAGCGAACAGG